AUUUAAGCAUAUCAAUAAGCGGAGGAAAGAAACUAACAAGGAUUCCCCCAGUAACGGCGAGUGAAGCGGGAACGGCUCAAAUUUGAAAUCUCCGUUGUUUCAACGGCGAAUUGUAGUUUCGAGAAGCACUUUCUAGGCGGAUCUUCUUCGUCUAAGUUGCUUGGAACAGCACGUCAUAGAGGGUGACAACCCCGUCUGGGACGAAGGAGACCGCUGACGAUGUGUUUUCAAAGAGUCGGGUUGUUUGGGAAUGCAGCCCAAAAUGGGUGGUAAACUCCAUCUAAAGCUAAAUAUWGGCACGAGACCGAUAGCGAACAAGUACCGUGAGGGAAAGAUGAAAAGAACUUUGAAAAGAGAGUUAAAAAGUACGUGAAACCGUUAAAAGGGAAACGAAUGGAGUUAGCAAUGCACCCUGCAAGAUUCAGCCGGCAGGUGGUGCGGACGGGCGGUUGGCRGAUCUGCAUGGACCGCCGCCGUUCGGCUCGCGCUCCCCGCCGUCGCACUUCUUGCGAGUGCGCGUCAACGUCGGUUCGRCGCCGGUGUCAAAAGCUGGUGGAAAGGUAGGUCGYCGACUUMGGUYGACGACUGUUAUAGCCYGCCUUCUGAUGGCCGGAGCCGGACCGAGGCGUCGCAGCGCAUGCCUCUUUUGGCUAGGGUCCUYUGUGGCCGGUCGGUUGUCGACCGUGGUGGACUGCUUGCAGUGCACCCGAACUGCUGCCGGUCGCUCGCGAGGUGACUUCGUACAAUGCGCUCAGGACGUUGGCRGUCAUAUGGCUUCAUCCGACCCGUCUUGAAACACGGACCAAGGAGUCUAGCCUGUGCGCGAGUCUUUGGGUGACAGAAACCCCCGGGCGCAAUGAAAGUGAAAGCGGUUUCGGCCGCCGAGGUGAGAACCCUUCCCUUGCGGAGGGGUGCAUCAUUGACCGAUCUAUUCUACUCUUAGGAAGAUUUGAGUAA
RNAcentral lists this ribosomal RNA (957 nucleotides) under Hydrozoanthus gracilis. RNAcentral's name for it is "partial 28S ribosomal RNA". It matches the Rfam family "Eukaryotic large subunit ribosomal RNA", at positions 32 to 797 of the family's 3401-position model. Lineage: Eukaryota; Metazoa; Cnidaria; Anthozoa; Zoantharia; Hydrozoanthidae. The record is from RNAcentral.